This 77-nucleotide transfer RNA is filed under the name Actinomycetota bacterium. RNAcentral describes it as "tRNA-Arg". It matches the Rfam family "tRNA". From Rfam's summary of the family: Transfer RNA (tRNA) molecules are approximately 80 nucleotides in length. Their secondary structure includes four short double-helical elements and three loops (D, anti-codon, and T loops). The record is from RNAcentral. Lineage: Bacteria; Bacillati; Actinomycetota. RNAcentral also lists the same sequence under 1 other name.
GCGCCUGUAGCUCAGCUGGAUAGAGCAUCGGACUUCUAAUCCGCAGGUCGGGGGUUCGAAUCCCUCCAGGCGCGCCA